UACGUAGGGGGCAAGCGUUGUCCGGAUUUAUUGGGCGUAAAGAGCUCGUAGGUGGUUCGGUAAGUCGGAUGUGAAAUCUCCAGGCUCAACCUGGAGGGGUCAUUCGAUACUGCCGUGACUAGAGGUCGGUAGGGGAGUGUGGAAUUCCUGGUGGAGCGGUGAAAUGCGCAGAUAUCAGGAGGAACACCCGUAGCGAAGGCGGCAUCCUGGACCGGUAUUGACGCUGAGGCGCGAAAGCUAGGGGAGCAAACGGG
RNAcentral lists this ribosomal RNA (254 nucleotides) under uncultured bacterium. RNAcentral describes it as "partial 16S ribosomal RNA". It matches the Rfam family "Bacterial small subunit ribosomal RNA", at positions 524 to 776 of the family's 1533-position model. The record is from RNAcentral.